UAAGUCACAUAGUUACUCAGAAAUCGCGUGGUAGACCUCUUCCACUUCUCUCUGUGAUUGCACUGGUUUUUGUUCGUUAAUCAUGUUCCGUUUACCUGGAGUUGAUGGAUCACCUGAUAGGGCUGCUGUGGAGGCAGAAAAGAGGAAAGCUAAACAAAAUGUUGCGUUCACAAUGAAAGUCUUUGUAACUUAUGUGGCGUUUCUACGAUUAGCUCCUUAUGCAUACAAAGCCCUUGCUGGAUAGUUAUGGUGACUUCAGGAAACCCUGUGGGACCUGGAUCCUUUCUGUUUCUUUAUUGUGGAUGUGGUUUUCUUAAGGACAAACUUCUUUAUGUUUGGUACUCUGGUUUGCUUGUGCAUCAUUUAUUUGCCAGUAUCUGAUUCUGCUUCAAUGGUGAAAUCUUGAAGACACUGCAGAGUUGAAGUAUGGUUCAGACCAGUAUAUGUUCCAAAUGACUGCAAAGUAUGGUUCAACAGAACACAAACACAUGAACUUCAUACAUCAUAGAUGAAAUGUGAAAACUGUUUUCCUGUUUUGUGUCUUGGGGAAAAGCUAAUUUUUGUUUUAGGGAUUCAGAUUUUUUUUUUUUAGCAAUGUCACUUCAUACAUUAUAAGUCAGGCAGAAAACAUUUGAGCAGAUCAGAGUUUGUGUCUGUGGAGCUGGGUGGUCUGACAGACAAAUGCUAAAAUUAAAGAUCAGAUCACUUUUUGAUAAAUACUUGUUGACUCUUAUGUUGUUUAUGAUUUACUUAACAGAUUUCAAAGAUUUUGUCUAGCUAUGAUUGCUUUUACAAACACACACACAAGUAUUUCAGAAGAAUCUUAAUCCACCAUAGCACACAUACUAAAGAAUAGUAAACUACAAUACGUGCCUUGCAGAUACAUUUUUUUAUUCUACUGAAUUUUUUUAAAAGUAGCAGACUAAAAGCUAUAGAAAAGGUUAUCAUUAGAAUUGAAUAUUUUGCAAGUAAAGAACACUUUAUCUUAGCAAUAAACUUGGACUGAAUGUUACAAUACUGUAAUGAUGAAUCUGAUUUUUCCAAAUCUUACAAACGGCAUAAUUACAUCAAUAAAAAGAGGGUAACUUUUUAACAU
Molecule: long non-coding RNA, 1096 nt
Organism: Stylophora pistillata
Lineage: Eukaryota; Metazoa; Cnidaria; Anthozoa; Scleractinia; Pocilloporidae
Source: RefSeq, a predicted model, not a curated record